RNAcentral lists this ribosomal RNA (253 nucleotides) under uncultured bacterium. RNAcentral's name for it is "partial 16S ribosomal RNA". It matches the Rfam family "Bacterial small subunit ribosomal RNA", at positions 524 to 776 of the family's 1533-position model. The record is from RNAcentral.
UACGGGGGGGGCAAGCGUUGUUCGGAAUUACUGGGCGUAAAGGGUUUGUAGGUGGCUUGCUAAGUCAGACGUGAAAUCCCUCGGCUUAACCGGGGAACUGCGUCUGAUACUGGAUGGCUUGAGUUCGGGAGAGGGAUGCGGAAUUCCAGGUGUAGCGGUGAAAUGCGUAGAGAUCCGGAGGAACACCAAUGGCGAAGGCAGUGCCCUGGCCGACGGCUGACGCUCAGGCGCGAAAGCGUGGGGAGCAAACAGG